UACAGAGGAUGCAAGCGUUAUCCGGAAUGAUUGGGCGUAAAGCGUCUGUAGGUGGCUUUUUAAGUCCGCCGUCAAAUCCCAGGGCUCAACUCUGGACAGGCGGUGGAAACUACCAAGCUGGAGUACGGUAGGGGCAGAGGGAAUUUCCGGUGGAGCGGUGAAAUGCGUAGAGAUCCGGAGGAACACCGAAGGCGAAGGCAGUGUCCUGGCUGGUGACUGACGCUGAGGUGCGAAAGCUAGGGGAGCGAACGGG
RNAcentral lists this ribosomal RNA (253 nucleotides) under uncultured bacterium. RNAcentral's name for it is "partial 16S ribosomal RNA". It matches the Rfam family "Bacterial small subunit ribosomal RNA", at positions 524 to 776 of the family's 1533-position model. The record is from RNAcentral.